Molecule: signal recognition particle RNA, 329 nt
Filed under: Larimichthys crocea (large yellow croaker)
Lineage: Eukaryota; Metazoa; Chordata; Actinopteri; Sciaenidae
Description: Metazoan signal recognition particle RNA (ENSLCRG00005001668.1)
Rfam family: Metazoan signal recognition particle RNA
About the family: The signal recognition particle (SRP) is a universally conserved ribonucleoprotein. It is involved in the co-translational targeting of proteins to membranes.
Source: RNAcentral
GCCGGUGCGGUGGGGGCGCGCGCCUUGUAAUCCAAGUUACGGGAGGCUGAGCGGAUCGGCGCGAUCGCUUGAGCUCAGGGGACGCUCUGGAGCUGCCAGCGCGACUAUGUCGAUGGGUGUGUCGCACUAAAGUUCUGGUAUCGACUAUGGUGCUCCUGGGGGGCCCGGGACCACCAGGUGUCUAAGGAGGGGUGCACCGGCCCAGGUUCGAAACAAGGCAAGCGCAGGUCAAAGCCCCCGUGCCGCUCUAGUUAUUGGGGAUUUCGCGCCUGUGAAAUAGACGCUUUUGUAGUGCAGCCUGAGUAACACAGGGCGGGGACCCAGUCUUU